AAUCGCCCCUAAAAUAGAACAUUUAAAUUUGUGUUUAGUUAACAAAAUUUAAGGUCUAACUCUUGGGCUGGCGUUAUGUUAGAUAAGGGGGGAUACAGACCUAAAAGACAAUUUCUUCAUGGAGCUCCCAGUUAAAUGGGUAAAACGGCCAUAUGAACAACUCCUAUACAAACUAGUAAGUGCUGUUAUAACUGGAAAACUAGACCACCUCCCACCUUCAUCCCAUCACUGACCACUCUGAACAGACACUAGAGAGUCAUUUACCACGCACUAUUCAUAAUAGCCGAGAUGUGGAAACAAUCCAAGUGACCAUCAACUGAUGAUUAGAUAAAGAAGAUGUGGUAUGUAUAUACAAUGGAAUGCUACUCAGCCAGAAAAAAGACAAAAUCAUCCCAUUUGCAACAACAUGGAUGGACCUUGAGGGAAUUAUGCUGAGUGAAAUAAGACAGACUGAGAAAGACAAACACCAUAUGGUUUCGCUCAUAUGUGGAGCAUAAACAAACACAUGGACAAAGAAAACAGUUCAGUGGCUACCAGGCAAAGUUUGGCAGCUUUGGUGUGGAAGCUGAGAAAGAGACGGUGAGAUGGCUGGUUACCCAAUGCGGAGAUCUGUGAUGUCUUUAUGUGAUUCUGGCCCCGUUGGAUGAAAAGUACUGUUAAAAAAGGGGAAGCAUGGAAGAAAAUUGGCAGAAGGACUUGUUUUGAUGAGUAGGGAGGUGAAGAAAAGCCUGGAAGUGCAGAGAGCUUCUCAUUGGUUGUUCAUUAUGGGGGGACAUAGAGAACAGGUCAGGAGGGCUCAGCUGCUGAAGAUCCUGCUUCCAAAAUAAGGGAAAUCAUCAGAGUCCAGAGCUCAGCAGAUGAUGGACACUUGGAGACAAAUGAAGUCAGGUGAAAUCUCUUGGAAGAGAUAAUGUCUAAGUACAAACAUCCCUCCUCACUCAAGAAAGCCUACUCUUAUAGACAAAGAGCUAUUGGUCAGAAAGAGAAGUGAACUGGGCAGAGCAUUUUUAACCAAAGGCUGAAUUCUUCCUGCAACCUAAGUCCCAAACUCCGGACACAACUGCUCUGAUUCCUGAGGUUCUCGUGGAGCUGGAAAGCAGAUAAAUGGAAGAGGUGGUCCAGCAUUUCAACUGAACAUGGACAUUUGGAUGCUAUAUGUUUAAUAUCUAGUGACAUAAAUCAACGUGCAGGUUUCAGUGUAUCACACUUUCCAGCUUCUAGGCAAAGAUCUAUAAUACCAAAUAUUCCACCUUCCACCUACCAGGUGAUUGGGGCCUCUCUCUCCAAGCAAAGAUGGCAGGGAUUGGGAGGUGAGGAUGGGCCUCUUGGAAAAAGUGCAGAUUUUAAAAAAUAUAUACCAUUCUAUAUGUUAGAACUUUUCAUACAUGCAGUUAUAACUCUAUAUGCUGGUUUGUAAAUUUUUCACAAUAUAACAUGAAAACUU
This 1444-nucleotide long non-coding RNA is filed under the name Equus asinus (donkey). Its description in RNAcentral is "lncRNA (ENSEASG00005037057.1)". The record is from RNAcentral. Lineage: Eukaryota; Metazoa; Chordata; Mammalia; Perissodactyla; Equidae.